Molecule: ribosomal RNA, 882 nt
Filed under: marine metagenome
Description: bacterial SSU rRNA
Rfam family: Bacterial small subunit ribosomal RNA
Source: RNAcentral
GCACGCUAAUACAUGCAAGUCGAACGAAGUAGCAAUACUUAGUGGCAGACGGGUGAGUAACAUGUAGGUAUCUUCCCUUUGGUGAGGAAUAACACGAGGAAACUUGUGCUAAUACCUCAUAAGUCUUUACGGAGAAAGCUUUAUGCGCCAAUGGAUGAGCCUGCACUUGAUUAGUUUGUUGGUGGGGUAAUGGCCUACCAAGACAAUGAUCAAUAGCUGAUUUGAGAGGAUGAUCAGCCACAUUGGGACUGAGACACGGCCCAAACUCCUACGGGAGGCAGCAGUAGGGAAUCUUGCACAAUGGGGGAAACCCUGAUGCAGCGAUGCCGCGUGAGUGAAGAAGGCCUUUGGGUUGUAAAGCUCUUUCGUCGGGGAAGAAAAUGACUGUACCCGAAUAAGAAGGUCCGGCUAACUUCGUGCCAGCAGCCGCGGUAAUACGAAGGGACCUAGCGUAGUUCGGAAUUACUGGGCUUAAAGAGUUCGUAGGUGGUUAAAAAAGUUGGUGGUGAAAUCCCAGAGCUUAACUCUGGAACUGCCAUCAAAACUUUUUAGCUAGAGUAUGAUAGAGGAAAGCAGAAUUUCUAGUGUAGAGGUGAAAUUCGUAGAUAUUAGAAAGAAUACCAAUUGCGAAGGCAGCUUUCUGGAUCAUUACUGACGCUGAGGAACGAAAGCAUGGGUAGCGAAGAGGAUUAGAUACCCUCGUAGUCCAUGCCGUAAACGAUGUGUGUUAGACGUUGGAAAUUUAUUUUCAGUGUCGCAGCGAAAGCAAUAAACACACCGCCUGGGGAGUACGACCGCAAGGUUAAAACUCAAAUGAAUUGACGGGGACCCGCACAAGUAGUGGAGCAUGUGGUUUAAUUCGAAGAUACGCGCAGAACCUUA